CGUAGGGGGCAAGCGUUGUCCGGAUUUACUGGGUGUAAAGGGCGCGCAGGCGGAAUGGAAAGUCAGUGGUGAAAUCCUACAGCUUAACUGUAGAACUGCCUUUGAUACUUUCAUUCUUGAGUUCGGGAGAGAGAGACGGAAUUCCAGGUGUAGUGGUGAAAUACGUAGAUAUCUGGAAGAACACCAGUUGCGAAGGCGGUCUCUUGGUCCGAUACUGACGCUGAGGCGCGAAAGCGUGGGGAGCAA
RNAcentral lists this ribosomal RNA (246 nucleotides) under uncultured bacterium. Its description in RNAcentral is "partial 16S ribosomal RNA". It matches the Rfam family "Bacterial small subunit ribosomal RNA", at positions 526 to 771 of the family's 1533-position model. The record is from RNAcentral.